AGAGUUUGAUCCUGGCUCAGGAUGAACGCUGGCGGCGUGCUUAACACAUGCAAGUCGAACGAAACACUUUAUUUGAUUUCCUCCGGGAAUGAUUAUUGUGUGUUUGUAGUGGCGGACGGGUGAGUAACGCGUGGGUAACCUGCCUUGUACAGGGGGAUAACAGUGAGAACGACUGCUAAUACCGCAUAAGCGCACAGCAUCGCAUGAUUCAGUGUGAAAAACUCCGGUGGUAUAAGAUGGACCCGCGUUGGAUUAGCUAGUUGGUGAGGUAACGGCCCACCAAGGCGACGAUCCAUAGCCGACCUGAGAGGGUGACCGGCCACAUUGGGACUGAGACACGGCCCAAACUCCUACGGGAGGCAGCAGUGGGGAAUAUUGCACAAUGGGGGAAAGCCUGAUGCAGCGACGCCGCGUGAGCGAAGAAGUAUUUCGGUAUGUAAAGCUCUAUCAGCAGGGAAGAUAAUGACGGUACCUGACUAAGAAGCACCGGCUAAAUACGUGCCAGCAGCCGCGGUAAUACGUAUGGUGCAAGCGUUAUCCGGAUUUACUGGGUGUAAAGGGAGCGUAGGCGGACUGUCAAGUCAGUUGUGAAAUACCGGGGCUUAACCCCGGGGCUGCGAUUGAAACUGACAUCCUUGAGUAUCGGAGAGGUAAGCGGAAUUCCUAGUGUAGCGGUGAAAUGCGUAGAUAUUAGGAGGAACACCAGUGGCGAAGGCGGCUUUCUGGACGACAACUGACGUUGAGGCUCGAAAGUGUGGGGAGCAAAAGGGAUUAGAUACCCUGGUAGUCCACGCCGUAAACCCUCAUAGGGAGGUGUCAGAGAGCAGAUCUUUUGGGUGCCGCCGCAAACGCAUUAUGUUUUCCAUGUGGAGAGUAUGUUCGCGAGAAUGAAUCUCAAAAGAAUUGGGGGGGGCGCGCACAAGCAGUGGCGUAUGUGGUUUUUUUAGAAGCAACGAGGAGCACUUUCAAUUGGUUUGAUAUCUCUGGCAUGGAGUAGACGUUCCUGAGCGCUUUCGGGAAUCAGGUCACAGGGGGCGCAGGGUUGUUGUCAGCUUGUGUUGUGAGAUGGGGGGUUAUGUCCCGCAGCGAGCGCCCCCCAUCUUGUCUGUUCCCCUCAUUAAGGUGGGCACUCUGGGGAGACUGCCGGGGACAAAUUGGAGGAAGGUGGGGAUGACGUCAAAUCAUCAUGCCCCUUAUGCUCAGGGCUACACACGUGCUACAAUGGCGGAUACCAAAGGGCGGGGAACCCGUGGGGUGGAGAGAUUCACAAAAUUAGGUCUCAGUUCGGAUUGCAGUCUGCAACUCGCCUGCAUGAAGUUGGAAUUGCUAGUAAUCGUGGAUCAGAAUGCCGCGGUGAAUACGUUCCCGGGCCUUGCACUCACCGCCCGUCA
Molecule: ribosomal RNA, 1391 nt
Filed under: uncultured bacterium
Lineage: Bacteria
Description: 16S ribosomal RNA
Rfam family: Bacterial small subunit ribosomal RNA
Source: RNAcentral